UUCAACAUGGCAGAAUAGUGCCAUGAACUUAAGCUUCAUAAAUGGAAGAAACAUUUCCUGUUGAAA
RNAcentral lists this transfer RNA (66 nucleotides) under Aneurus sublobatus. RNAcentral describes it as "tRNA-Leu". The record is from RNAcentral. Lineage: Eukaryota; Metazoa; Arthropoda; Insecta; Hemiptera; Aradidae.